ACAGAUUACUGAAUGAGUGAAGAAAAGCUGAUGUGAGAAACAGCCUGUGUAGAUGUCAAUAACUCUGCUCUGUUAAGAAACUCUGAUUGCAGACGCCCCUUCUCUGGUGGAUCACUAUGACGAUGGUCUUCAAUCUGUCUGCUGGAAGUUUGGCUGUAAUAAACCAAAAGAAGCUUGCAGAACUUAUUGAACAGAUAAGCACAAGUAUCAAAGACAGGUACAACAUUGAAGAAAUGUAUGCAGUGGCCACAAGUGUUCCGAAGGAUGAAGACCAAGUUUCUUAUGACUUCACAAAGGUGACGCCAAACCAACAGACAGAAUUGAAUGACGGCAUCCUCAGGUCUCCGAGACUUGUGGUAGCCACAAAGAAAAAAGUCUACAAUAAAAAUGGGGACUGUCUAUAUACUGAACAUGCAGAGUGGCGUGUUCUUCAGAAUCUUAAUCUUGAAGGUCAGGAUGGUGAUUUGUUGGUCUUCUUCUCUCAUGCCAGUCCAUGUGCCGAAAAGUGUGCAGAUCCAGAUGGAAAAUACAGGAUCACUGAUCAGCUCAGACGUCUCUUUAAUGGAUGUGAGUGGGGUGCAAAGGCGUUUGUAUUUAACGUUUUAUUCAGGCCACCUAGGCAGGACAUUAAUCCAGACAGGAUAAAUUUUGCCCUGACAAAUAUCGGAAUAGCCAUUGAUCACGAAAACUUAUUUCGCUGUAACGAAACUAAUAAUGGCGAUUUCCAUUGCAUCAAAUGCUUUAAUGGUAGUCAGAUAAACCCAAAUGCCUACAAAAGGAGCUGGAACAGGAAGCUCCAGGCGGUGCACCGUUGGUCAGAUGAACAGUCAAAGUCUACCCAAAUCAUCAACCACAUGGUCCUGGAUACGAUACACCCCCUCCAGUUUGCAUACCGCCCCAAUCGAUCAGUUGAUGACGCAACAGCAUUUGCCCUGCACCACAGGGCAUUAGCAUUAGCCCUGCACCACACUCUGCAACAUCUGAAGAGUAGCAGCACGUAUGUCAGGAUGCUCUUCCUGGACUACAGCUCUGCUUUCAACACCAUCCGCCCAGGCAAGCUGAUCGAGAAACUGAGUGACGUCAACAUCCCAACUCUCACUUGCAACUGGAUCCUGGACUUUUUGACAGAGAGACCACAGGUGGUGAGAAUUGGAGGACGCGUGUCUGCUGAGCUCACCAUCAGCACUGGAUCUCCACAGGGCUGCUGCCUCAGCCCUAAACUCUUCACCCUGUACACCCAUGACUGUGUCUCCACCCAGGAAAACUCCAUCAUCAUCAAAUACGCUAACAACACCACCAUCCUGGGGCUCAUCAACAGGGGGUACGAGUCUGGGUACAGAACUCUACACUGUUCCAAAAAAUAUUAAUGUCAAACUAUCUUACUGUAUAUUUUACAGUUUUGUACUAUCUUUCUAGGAUAUCAUUAAAUUUACAUAAGUAGACUGUGAUCUUACAUGUCAAAGGUAAAAUAACGUAACAGCUCUGUAAAUAUAGUAAAACACAAUUUACUUGUUUUUUAAAUAUAUUUUUUUGUACAUAUGCAUAUUUAGAUUGUAAAAUUACAUCCAGAAAUGUAUCAUAAUUUCACGAAUAUUUGUCUGUUAUGUGAGAGAAUGAUCUGUUAAAUUCAAAUGUAAUACUAUGGAAAAAUAUAUAAAAUGAUCGAAAAUUAAUGAGAAUAAUCAAUAAUUAAAGGAGUAUUUGAAUUAUAAUUUUGCUGA
Long non-coding RNA from Astatotilapia calliptera (eastern happy), 1721 nucleotides. The record is from Ensembl. NCBI's taxonomy places the organism in Eukaryota, Metazoa, Chordata, Actinopteri, Cichliformes, Cichlidae.